Molecule: ribosomal RNA, 253 nt
Filed under: uncultured bacterium
Lineage: Bacteria
Description: partial 16S ribosomal RNA
Rfam family: Bacterial small subunit ribosomal RNA
Source: RNAcentral
UACGAAGGGUGCUAGCGUUGUUCGGAAUCACUGGGCGUAAAGCGCGCGUAGGCGGCGACACAAGUCAGGGGUGAAAUCCUUGGGCUCAACCCAAGAAUUGCCUUUGAAACUAGGUUGCUAGAGUACUGGAGGGGAUGGCGGAAUUGCUAAUGUAGAGGUGAAAUUCGUAGAUAUUAGCAGGAACACCGGUGGCGAAGGCGGCCAUCUGGCCAGUAACUGACGCUGAGGCGCGAAAGCACGGGGAUCAAACAGG